CCGAGCUGGGCUUCCCUGAUUCGUUGCUGAUGACAGAGCCAUUCUCACUGGGCGACCUGCUGGAGGUAACCAUAGCAACAGGGAGACGGACAAAGCAGACAUGACACAAGCAGAGAGCUGAGAAGUGCUUGUGCCUUUGGGGCUUGUUUGCUUGCUGGCCAUGGAACCCUGUAACCACCCUGUGAGAGAGCCAGGGCCAGCCUGCUGGAGGAUGCCAGGAGGCUCUAGUCACCUGGCCGCCCCAGACAAGGUGGUCAUCAACAAGCAAGCCCUGUGGACCCACUACCUGACUACAGAAGCAUGAAUGAGCCCAGCUGAGAUCAGCCAAGCCUAGCUCAGACUAAAGAACCACCUAGCUGAGCUCAGCCUAAACUGCUGGCCCAUCAAAAAUCAUGAGCUCAAUAAAUGGUUGUUGUUUUGAGCUGCUAA
This is a long non-coding RNA of Camelus dromedarius (Arabian camel), 429 nucleotides long. RefSeq lists it as uncharacterized. NCBI's taxonomy places the organism in Eukaryota, Metazoa, Chordata, Mammalia, Artiodactyla, Camelidae. The record is from RefSeq and is a predicted model, not a curated record. The transcript has 2 exons.